This 436-nucleotide ribosomal RNA is filed under the name uncultured bacterium. RNAcentral describes it as "partial 16S ribosomal RNA". It matches the Rfam family "Bacterial small subunit ribosomal RNA", at positions 28 to 507 of the family's 1533-position model. The record is from RNAcentral.
GAUGAACGCUGGCGGUAUGCUUAACACAUGCCAGUCGAACGGGGUGCAUAGUCACCUAGUGGCGGACGGGUGAGUAACGCGUGAGAAUCUGGCCUCAGGUCCGGGACAACCACGGGAAACGGUGGCUAAUACCGGAUGUGCCAUAUUGGUGAAAGAUUAAUUGCCUGAGGAUGAGCUCGCGUCUGAUUAGCUAGUUGGUGGGGUAAAGGCUUACCAAGGCGACGAUCAGUAACUGGUCUGAGAGGAUGACCAGUCACACUGGGACUGAGACACGGCCCAGACUCCUACGGGAGGCAGCAGUGGGGAAUUUUCCGCAAUGGGCGAAAGCCUGACGGAGCAAUACCGCGUGAGGGAGGAAGGCUCUUGGGUUGUAAACCUCUUUUCUCAGGGAAGAAGAAUGACGGUACCUGAGGAAUCAGCAUCGGCUAACUCCGUG